GACGAACGCUGGCGGCGUGCUUAACACAUGCAAGUCGAACGGAAAGGCCCUGCUUUUGUGGGGUGCUCGAGUGGCGAACGGGUGAGUAACACGUGAGUAACCUGCCCUUGACUUUGGGAUAACUUCAGGAAACUGGGGCUAAUACCGGAUAGGAUCUCCUGCUGCAUGGUGGGCGUUGGAAAGUUUCGGCGGUUGGGGCCGGGCUCGUGGCGUAUCAGCUUGUUGGUGGGGUAGUGGCUUACCAAGGCUUUGACGGGUAGCAGGACUGAGAGGGUGACAGGCGACACAGGGACUGAGAGGAGGCCGAGACAGCGAAGGGAGGCAGAAGUGGGGAAUAUUGAAGAAUGGGCGGAAGGCGGAUGAAGAAACGCCGCGUGCGGGAAGACGGCCUUAGGGUUGUAAACCGCUUUCGCCUGUGACGAAGCGUGAGUGAAGGUAAUGGGUAAAGAAGCACAGGCUAAAUAAGGG
This 468-nucleotide ribosomal RNA is filed under the name uncultured bacterium. RNAcentral describes it as "partial 16S ribosomal RNA". It matches the Rfam family "Bacterial small subunit ribosomal RNA", at positions 28 to 507 of the family's 1533-position model. The record is from RNAcentral.